UGAAGGAGGAGGCAGCGAAGAAGACUUAUGCUGCAAAAGGCCGUCCAUCGGAUAAUCCGCUGAUCGUGCAUAUUGCGGAUUAUGAAGAUCUGAAGGCAGUUGCGGUGAAUAUACCGGCGAAGACGGAUGCCCUGGCAGCUCAUUUCUGGCCUGGUCCACUGACGAUGAUCUUUGAGAAGAGUGAGGUUGUACCGUACGGAACGACAGGCGGACUGGAUACCGUUGCGGUCAGGAUGCCGAGUGAUCCGGUGGCAGCGGCUGUGAUCCGGGCAGCAGGUGGAUUCGUAUCUGCACCAAGUGCCAAUACAUCAGGAAGACCGAGUCCCACAACAGCACAGCACGUCAGUGAAGAUCUGGACGGAAAGAUCGAUAUGGUUCUGGAUGGCGGUCCGGUUGGGAUCGGUCUGGAAUCAACGAUCGUGGAUUUUACAGAAGAGAGAAUGCCGGCAUGAGUAGCGAGAGGAAAGUGAGAAACUUUUCCGUCGAAAGCCUAAGGUUUCCUGGGGAAGGUUCGUCCACCCAGGGUAAGUCGGGACCUAAGUGGAGGCCGAAAGGCGUACAUGAUGGACAACAGGUAGAUAUUCCUGUACCACGACACGGAUAAGAGCAGGGACACAGAAGGAUAGUUGGACCAUGGGGAUGGAAACCAUGGACAAAUCAAGAGGCUAAGCAGUAGGAAGAAAACGCUGCUUAAAAGGCUGGUUGAUGAUGUGGAGUGAAAAAUAGUAGCGAAGCCAAUGAAUUCACGCUGGCGAGAAAAACUGCGUACUUAGAAGAAGUGAAGUGCCCGUACCGCAAACCGACACAGGUAGGCGGCAAGAGAAUUGCAAGACGAACGGGAUAACCAUUGUUAAGGAACUCGGCAAAAUGACCCCGUAACUUAGGGAUAAGGGGGGCCUACGCAAGUAGGCUGCAAAAAAUAGGCCCAAGCGACUGUUUAUCUAAAACACAGGUCUCUGCGAAAGCGCAAGCUGAAGUAUAGGGGCUGACGCCUGCCCGGUGCUGGAAGGUCAAGGGGAAAUGUUAGGAGCAAGUCCGAAGCAUAGAACUUAAGCCCCAGUGAACGGCGGCCGUAACUAUAACGGUCCUAAGGUAGCGAAAUUCCUUGUCAGGUAAGUUCUGACCCGCAUGAAUGGCGUAACGAUUUGGGCGCUGUCUCAACAAUGGACCCGGCGAAAUUGUAGUAUAUGUGAAGAUGCAUAUUACCCGCGACUGGACGGAAAGACCCCGUAGAGCUUUACUGUAGCUUGACAUUGAAUUUCGGUAAAGACUGUACAGGAUAGGUGGGAGACUUUGAACCAUGGGCGUCAGCUUGUGGGGAGUCGACGUUGGGAUACCACCCUAUCUUUGCUGAGGUUCUAACUCAAAGCGUUGAAUCACGAUUGAGGACAAUGUCAGGUGGGCAGUUUGACUGGGGCGGUCGCCUCCUAAAGAGUAACGGAGGCGUCCAAAGGUUCCCUCAGAAUGGUUGGAAACCAUUCGUAGAGCAUAAAGGUAUAAGGGAGCUUGACUGCGAGACAUACAAGUCGAGCAGAUACGAAAGUAGGGCUUAGUGAUCCGGCGGUAGAGAAUGGAAUUGCCGUCGCUUAACGGAUAAAAGUUACCCCGGGGAUAACAGGCUUAUCUCUCCCAAGAGUUCAC
This 1641-nucleotide ribosomal RNA is filed under the name human gut metagenome. RNAcentral describes it as "bacterial LSU rRNA". The stretch from base 336 to 1641 matches the Rfam family "Bacterial large subunit ribosomal RNA", at positions 1 to 2503 of the family's 2925-position model. The record is from RNAcentral.